GUCCGCACCGUAAACGAUGAUCACUCGUUGUUGGCGAUACACAGUCAGCGACUAAGCGAAAGCAUUAAGUGAUCCACCUGGGAAGUACGACCGCAAGGUUGAAACUCAAAGGAAUUGACGGGGGCCCGCACAAGCGGAGGAGCAUGUGGUUUAAUUCGAUGGUACGCGAGGAACCUUACCUGGGCUUGAAAGACAGUUGACCGUUUCCGAAAGGAGACUUUCGCAAGACAAUUGUCUAGGUGCUGCAUGGCUGUCGU
This 257-nucleotide ribosomal RNA is filed under the name uncultured bacterium. RNAcentral's name for it is "partial 16S ribosomal RNA". It matches the Rfam family "Bacterial small subunit ribosomal RNA", at positions 793 to 1055 of the family's 1533-position model. The record is from RNAcentral.